Molecule: ribosomal RNA, 492 nt
Filed under: uncultured bacterium
Lineage: Bacteria
Description: partial 16S ribosomal RNA
Rfam family: Bacterial small subunit ribosomal RNA
Source: RNAcentral
AGUGAACGCUGGCGGUAGGCCUAACACAUGCAAGUCGAACGGCAGCACAGUAAGAGCUUGCUCUUACGGGCGGCGAGUGGCGGACGGGUGAGGAAUACAUCGGAAUCUACUUUUUCGUGGGGGCUAACGUAGGGAAACUUACGCUAAUACCGCAUACGACCUACGGGUGAAAGCAGGGGAUCUUCGGACCUUGCGCGAUUGAAUGAGCCGAUGUCGGAUUAGCUGGUUGGCGGGGUAAAGGCCCACCAAGGCGACGAUCCGUAGCUGGUCUGAGGGGAUGAUCAGCCACCCUGGAUCUGAGACACGGUCCAGACUCCUACGGGAGGCAGCAGUGGGGAAUAUUGGACAAUGGGCGCAAGCCUGAUCCAGCCAUACCGCGUAGGUGAAGAACGACCUCGGGUUGUUAAGCCCUUUUGUUGGGAAAGAAGAGCAGCAGGUUUAUACCCCGCUGUUCUGACGGUACCGAAAGAAUAAGCACCGGCUAACUUCGUG